Long non-coding RNA from Cucumis sativus (cucumber), 1477 nucleotides. RefSeq lists it as uncharacterized. NCBI's taxonomy places the organism in Eukaryota, Viridiplantae, Streptophyta, Magnoliopsida, Cucurbitales, Cucurbitaceae. The transcript has 2 exons. The record is from RefSeq and is a predicted model, not a curated record.
UUUCUUCGUCGAGAAAACGUAUCCAUUUCAUUCAUUCCCUACUCUAAUAUGGAGCAUUGUUCACAAGUACCGUAGACGAAUAUAGAAAUAGAAGUAAUGGUUUUGGCUUCUGAUUUUGUAAUUUUAUUGACAAACACUGGACCUCUGACUCAUUUAGUUGGGCUUUCACCCCACUCUCCCAAACUUAGCCCUAAACACAUAAAGCUUUAAAAUAACCAAAAAUAAAUACAACUAAUUUGUAGAAUGAUUCUCAAAUUACACUGUAUCUGUUUUUUUCUUUAAAUUGUAAAUAUCUGAACACAACUUAACUUGACCAAACUCGAACUAAUACGAACCAAAAAAUCAGAAUUCAAUCACUUGCACUUAAGUGAGAAUUGAUAUCUUGGUUGUGAAAGUUUCAAAACUUUGUCCGAUCCUUGGUUUCUUAGAUCACCUAAAUAACAUGAAUCUACCCUAUCUUAGAGGUUGAAAUCAAAUUGGCUUUGGAGAUGUUGGGUUUGCGUGGUUCUUAAAUAUAAUGUCUAAGGUUUUAAAUCACGUACAAAAUUAAGUUCUGAGUAGAUGUCCGUCAUAAACUGAACUCGUGAUCUCUUAAUCAUUUAUUGAGACGGUGUCUUCUCAUUUACUACUAAAUCAACCUAUGAUAGUUAUGUGUUUUCUUGUUUAAAUUAAAAAAAGUUUAUUCAAUCUCGACUAAUUUUACAAGGAACCAUCCAUCCGUUCCCCUCAGUUUAUUCUCUUCCACAUGAUCUUUAAUUGGCUUUUUCUAAUAGAAACCUUCGAGGGUAUUAUAAGCAAAAACUGUUACCUUACUUCCAUGACGGUAAUGUCUUCUAGAAUGUGACACCUAUUGGCAAAGCUAAAACCAGUCUUUGAACGGAAGGAAUCAAGUUAUAGUUAAGUUGGCCAAUCAAUAUCAGAAUCAUAUUCCUGAGCUUUGUCCCUUUCUACGAAACUCCACAAACUUUUUACUGAAGAGAUAAUCGAUAUAUAUAUAUACACACACGUAAUGGAAGACACUAAUCUCUACUUCCAAAGCUUCAAAGAUGCCCAUAUCAGAAGCAAAACAAGACCAUCACCCACAAGGUUCUUUCCACCUUCCUCUCCCUAUCAAAAUUUUCACUUUGUUGUCUCUCUGUCUCUCUUUCUAACUGUUUGAACUAUAGGGUACCCAACUGAGAACGUUGGGACAGGGAAGAAGAAACAGUUAUGGGGUACUACAAAAAAACGAGGAGAUAGGAGUUUUAUCGAAGGAUGCCUUUUUGCCCUGUGUUGCUGUUGGCUUUGUGAGGCAUGUUGCUGAUUCUCCUGGAUGAUUGUCCUGUUGUCUAUUGUAAUUAGUGUUUAUAUAUGUUCCAUCAAUAUCAGCAACACUGAUCUAGUGUAUUGUAUAAAACAACUUUAUCUAUGAGAUUGAGACUUCUGCUUGUACUGGCCUAUGGUUUUCUUGAGCAAAUGGAAGUUUUAGAUUUGAUUC